AUGAACGCUGGCGGCGUGUCUUAGGCAUGCAAGUCGAACGAGAGUUUUGUAGCAAUACGAAACAAGAGUGGCAAACGGGUGCGUAACACAUUAGUAACCUACCCCAAGGUUCAGGACAACGAGUCGAAAGAUUCGCUAAUACUGGAUGUGGUCGGCCGAUUCGUCGGUCGAAAAAAGGCGCAAGUCGCCUUGGGAGGGGCUUAUGGUCCAUCAGGUAGUUGGUAGGGUAAUGGCCUACCAAGCCUAUGACGGAUAGCGGGUGUGAGAGCACGACCCGCCUCACUGGGACUGAGACACUGCCCAGACUCCUACGGGAGGCUGCAGUCGAGAAUAUUCCCCAAUGGACGAAAGUCUGAGGGAGCGACGCCGCGUGCAGGAAGAAGCCUUUCGGGGUGUAAACUGCUUUUCUUAGGGAACAACCCUGAGUGUACCUAAGGAAUAAGGGGCUGCUAACUUCGU
RNAcentral lists this ribosomal RNA (459 nucleotides) under uncultured bacterium. RNAcentral describes it as "bacterial SSU rRNA". It matches the Rfam family "Bacterial small subunit ribosomal RNA", at positions 29 to 506 of the family's 1533-position model. The record is from RNAcentral.